CUCCCUACACCCUCACAGUGCAGACGAUGAACCAUCUCAACUUUGCUGCAUGACCUGUGAAAGUCAAACAGUGGACAGCAAAAGAUUUUGUGCAGUCUCAAGUGAAGGUGUUGCUGCUGCCAAGCUAGUUUGGAAGGCUCCCUUUCAAUGGAGGACAUUGUAGAUGGCCAAGAAGGACAACAUUAAGCAGCUCUGAUGCUUUGACUUCAGGUGGCCCAGUCUCACUGAGAUUCUGGGAUGAAGUGUAUGUCGUAUGCAAGGAGGAGAAUUAGAUGUGAAUAUAUCAUCAUCUUCCAUAAUCUCACCUUCACCGGCAGCAAGGAUCUCUGUGGUGGCCAAGCCCAUGAUUGCCUUCAUCCAGUCCUCAAUGUGACUCAGUCUACAGCUGUUUCUUCCAGCCAAGAGUGGCAAUGAGCUUGAGUGACUUCAAAGGAGGAGCAGUUGGUAACU
Molecule: long non-coding RNA, 450 nt
Organism: Pristis pectinata (smalltooth sawfish)
Lineage: Eukaryota; Metazoa; Chordata; Chondrichthyes; Rhinopristiformes; Pristidae
Exons: 4
Source: RefSeq, a predicted model, not a curated record